CCGCCCUCCCGCCCCGGUCCUCACUGCGCAAGCGCGAGCCGCGAGCGUGGGUUAUCUCGAGACAGCCGGGCUGCGGGCUGCGGAGCGUGCGGGUCUGAGGCCUGCGUUCUGCUAGCUCCAGCGGCUCACAGGCCGAGGUAACGAGGCGCAGCAAGCCGAGCCUCCCCGCUCCCCCGGACAGCGUGGGCCAUGGAGACUCAAGUGCUGACGCCGCAUGUCUACUGGGCUCAGCGACACCGCGAGCUGUAUCUGCGCGUGGAGCUGAGUGACGUGCAGAACCCUGCUAUCAGCAUCACAGACAAUGUGCUGCAUUUCAAAGCUCAGGGACACGGUGCCAAAGGAGACAAUGUCUAUGAAUUUCACCUGGAGUUCUUAGACCUUGUGAAGCCAGAGCCGGCGUACAGGCUGACCCAGAGGCAGGUGAACAUCACAGUCCAGAAGAAGGGGAGUCAUUGGUGGGAAAGACUCACCAAGCAAGAGAAGCGCCCAUUGUUUUUGGCCCCUGACUUUGAUCGCUGGCUGGAUGAAUCUGAUGCGGAAAUGGAGCUGAGAGCCAAGGAGGAAGAACGCCUAAAUAAACUCAGACUAGAAAGGGAAGGCUCCCCUGAAACUCUUACAAACUUGAAGAAAGGGUACCUGUUCAUGUACAACCUUGUGCAGCUCCUGGGGUUCUCCUGGAUCUUUGUCAACCUCACAGUGCGGUUCUUUAUUUUAGGAAAAGGAGAGAAUGGAGAAGUCUCAGGUGCAGCUACUCUCGGAUUACUAUGGCAUUCUCAUCCUGGAAGGAAAACAGGGACCUUCAGAUAAGUAAAUGCUCACCUUGUUCAACCUAAGAUGGUAGGUGGAUGCUGAGUGUUUUUUCAUAAGACUGCUGGCUGUAGGGAUGGCAAGAUGGCUCAGAAGGUAAGGGUGCUUGCUGCCAAGCCCCAAAACUAGCUCCACCACCCACAUGGUUGUAGGAGAGAAACAAUGCCCCAAAUUGUCCAUUAACAACCACAUGCAUACCAUGGUGUGUGUGCAGCCACACACACACAUACACACACACACAGACAGACAUGCUAAAUGCAUUAAGCAGUUUAAGACAUUAAGGCUAUAAAGUGAUCUAGUCCAAAAGCUAUCAAGUGAAACAGGCCUGUUGGCUAAUUGGUGAUCAAUUUUCAACUGUAAUUUAUUUUUUCUAUGGACCCUGUUAAACUGAGGAUUUAGAUUACAAAUACAUGGAUAAUGAUUGUAGCUGCCAGUGGCUUUCUUUUUUCUUUGUUUUCUUUUUUUUAAAGGUUUAUUUUAUUUCAUGUAUGUGAGUAUAUCAUUGCUGUCUUCAGACACAGCAGAAGAGGGCAUUGGAUCCCAUUACAGAUGGUUGUGAGCCACCAUGUGGUUGCUGGGAAUUAAACUUAGGACCUCUGGAAGAGCAGUUAGUGCUCUUAACCGCUGAGCCAUCUCUCCAGCCCCUUUGUUUUCUUUUUUGUUGUUGGGGGGGCAGAGGCAGGCGGAUUUCUGAGUUUGAGGCCAGCCUGAUCUACACAGAGUGAGUUCCAGGACAGCCAGGGCUACACAGAGAAACCCUGUCUCAUAAAACCAAAAAAAAAAAAGAGAAAUAUUUCAGAGGACAACCUUGUAUUAUUAAUAAGGCCUUGAAAAAUUGUUAUCUCUUUUUAGUUAGGAUAGCUUCUCAGAAUUCUAAGAAUUAUUAGUGCUGAAGGUAUGAACACUGUUAAGGAUUUUGAAAUCUAAUUUUAAGGAUUUUAUUAUUAGGGGCUGGAGAAAUGACUCAGUGGUAAGAACACUUACUGAUUGCUCCUCAGAGGACUUGGGUUUGAUUCCCAGCAGCCACAUGGUACAAAUGUCUGUAAGUCCAGGUGUCCACUCCAUGGCAGCAAGCAUACAAGUGGUGCAUAGACAUACAUGCAGGCUAAACCACCAGACACAGUAAAAAAUAGUAGUAGUAGCAGUAGUAAUGAUGAACUUUUAAAAAGAUUUAAGUUUUAAAAGUGUGUGUGCAUUUAUUUGUAUGUGCAAAUGAAUGCUAGGUGCCCUUGGAGGCCAGAGAGGGAGCUGGGUCUGCGGAAGUUGGAGUUAUAGGUGUUUGUGAGCUGCCUGAUACAUACGGGUGCUGGGCACCAAACUCAGGUUCUCUUUCAGAGAAAUGUGUGCAUCUCACUGCUGAGCCAUUUCUACAGCCUUCCUGCAAUCUCAUUUUAUUGAAUACUUUUAUCUCUAUGUAAUUGAAUUUUUGAUUGCUCACAUGAUAGAUUUAGCUUUAACUUCGAAGAGGUAAUUGAUCUGAAAAGAGUUACCGUUUUGUCUUGUACACAGAUUGUUCUUUUCAACAGAUAGUAACAAUGAAAGCUGGGGGUGGCUUUUUUAAUUUUUUAACCAGGAGAAAGGGACAGAGGGUUUUUGUCUGGACAUAAGGGAGUUCAUCCUGGGAGUUCUGAAGCCUGUCCUGGCCUAGGGUAGGAAUGUGAACCUGACUCCGUGUCUAUUUUCUUCCUCAAGUUCUUUUCCUGUAAGGUGUGGAGAAGCUGCCCCUGCUAGAUCAUGUGGCCUGACCAUCCUGUAUGCUUGUGCCCUAGAGUCCUUCUAUGACACGUUCCACAAUGUGGCUGACAUGAUGUAUUUCUGCCAGAUGCUGGCACUAGUGGAAACCCUCAAUGCUGCGAUUGGGGUCACAAGUACCCCGGUGCUACCUGCUCUCAUCCAGUUUCUUGGAAGAAAUUUUAUUCUGUUUCUUGUUUUCGGCACCAUGGAAGAAAUGCAAAACAAAGCUGUGGUUUUCUUUGUGUUUUAUUCCUGGAGCGCAAUUGAAAUCUUCAGGUAUCCCUUCUACAUGCUCUCCUGCAUUGACAUGGACUGGAAGGUGCUCACGUGGCUCCGUUACACUAUGUGGAUUCCGUUAUAUCCCCUGGGAUGUUUGUCAGAAGCUGUGGCAGUGAUCCAGUCCAUUCCAGUAUUCAACGAGUCGGGAAGGUUCAGUUUUACUUUGCCAUAUCCAGUGAAGAUGAAAGUCAGAUUUUCCUUCUUCCUUCAAGUUUAUCUCGUAAUGUUAUUUUUAGGGUUAUAUAUUAAUUUUCGUCACCUUUAUAAACAGCGCAGGAGGCGGUAUGGACAAAAGAAGAAAAAGCUCCACUAAAGAUGAAUUUGGUAGCUUCAUUUGAGCAGAGUCUAUGAUUCCUACUCUUCUACUUCUUGUACUGAUAUAAGGGUUUGUUUUGUUUUGUUUUUUAAAGUAAGGCUGUCUCUCUUUCCCAGUAACAUUCCUGAGUCUACUGUCCUUAUCUUAGUGUUGUACUUGCAUGACAUGGAUAUCUGGUAUCUGAGGACAAGUUCAUUCUUGUGUAUUUAAUAACAAAGGUGGCCCUCUUCAUGUCUGCUCCUCCCUACAGGCACUGUCUGUCUUCACAGGGCUUGGUCUUUCUGCUGCCACUUGUGAAAACCGAAAAAAAACAAGACUACAUAGCACCGACUUUUUGAAAAUCAGAUAAACAUGGUUAUUGACAUUUUUUGAGUCAGAGUAGGGCUGGAGAACACUUCAUAUUUGAUGCCUUUUAGCUAAAGACAUUCAUUACUAUAGCACUUCCCAGGCAUUGAAGAGGCAGAGUGAUUUAGAGAACGAAAUCAGAACCUGGGAACACCAUGACUACUUCAUUUCUAGCUAAAUCAGAACUGCCUUCAACACUGGAGAAAGGGAGAAGUACUGCGCAACAGAGAUUAGAAGUCCAAAUGUGAAUGGCUGCAGGGGUCAGAAGGGAACAGAGAUGCAGGAGACAGGCAGGAUCAGUUGUGGUAAUGAUGCCUGUGGCAAACACAAACACCUACUUGGGCUGCACACAGUCACACAAUCAAUCUAUAAUUCUUGGGGUUAGCUCAGUCCAUUUACUUGUGUAUUUCUGAGUGGUUGGUGAGAUUACUUUAUUGAACUGUUUUUUUCCUUGUUAGAUUUUUUUUUCUCUUUUUUUGUUUUUUAAGAUAGGGUUGUUCUGUGUAGCUUUGGCUCUCCUAGAACUUGCUCUGUAGACCAGGCUGGCCUUGAACACAGAAAGAGAUUCAUCUGCCUCUGCCUCCUGAGUGCUGGGAUUAAAGGCAAAAGCCACCACAGCCUGUUUUGUUUUGUUUUCGGUUUAAAAACAACAACAAACUGUGUGCAUGCAGAAUACAGACCUUGAGGUUGGCUACUGUUCAAGACAGCUUCAGUCUCUCUACCACAUUCCAUGUAAACCUAUGGUGAAGUAACACCAGAAAAAAGAGCCUGAGAGUGGUCGCUUCCAUCUUCCACUCCCCUUGUUCUUGGGGGGAAAGGAAGGAGACUUCUGCUGUUGCAGUGAGCCCAGAGUGGAUUGGCAUUAAACUGGCUGCUUUGACACACCUCAUCUCACCCAAGAGUAUUUCCCAAGUCUGCAGCUUCCGUCAGCGAUUGUUGUGUUACCUUCUGGUGUUCCCUCACUGAUUGUGGACAAACCUGGCAGUUGAGCUUUGCAGUCAAUUAUGCCGUAUCCCUGUGCAAACUCCCAUGUUCUAGUUGCUGUUAGCAUCCCCUUUGUUGCUGUCUGAGAAAGUGAAAGAUUGUGUAUUUCUAUUAAAACAUUUACAGUCAAAAUCCUAA
Molecule: RNA transcript, 4603 nt
Organism: Mus musculus (house mouse)
Lineage: Eukaryota; Metazoa; Chordata; Mammalia; Rodentia; Muridae
Gene: Hacd3
Gene name: 3-hydroxyacyl-CoA dehydratase 3
Exons: 11
Source: RefSeq, marked validated